UGGGGAAUAUUGCACAAUGGGCGCAAGCCUGAUGCAGCCAUGCCGCGUGUGUGAAGAAGGCCUUCGGGUUGUAAAGCACUUUCAGCGAGGAGGAAGGUGGUGAGCUUAAUACGCUCAUCAAUUGACGUUACUCGCAGAAGAAGCACCGGCUAACUCCGUGCCAGCAGCCGCGGUAAUACGGAGGGUGCAAGCGUUAAUCGGAAUUACUGGGCGUAAAGCGCACGCAGGCGGUUUGUUAAGUCAGAUGUGAAAUCCCCGGGCUCAACCUGGGAACUGCAUUUGAAACUGGCAAGCUAGAGUCUCGUAGAGGGGGGUAGAAUUCCAGGUGUAGCGGUGAAAUGCGUAGAGAUCUGGAGGAAUACCGGUGGCGAAGGCGGCCCCCCUGGACGAAGACUGACGCUCAGGUGCGAAAAGCGUGGGGAGCAAACAGAUUAGNUACCCUGGUAGUCCACGCUGUAAAACGAUGUCGAUUUUGGAGGUUGUGCCCCUUGAGGCGUGGNUUCCGAGCUAACGNGUUAAAUGACCG
Molecule: ribosomal RNA, 526 nt
Filed under: uncultured bacterium
Lineage: Bacteria
Description: partial 16S ribosomal RNA
Rfam family: Bacterial small subunit ribosomal RNA
Source: RNAcentral